Molecule: long non-coding RNA, 1016 nt
Filed under: Gossypium raimondii (Peruvian cotton)
Lineage: Eukaryota; Viridiplantae; Streptophyta; Magnoliopsida; Malvales; Malvaceae
Description: long non-coding RNA (GRAI_LNC004975)
Source: RNAcentral
GGAAAAGAGAAAGUUAUCGACUAAAUUACAAAAAUAGUCGUUUUGCAUCCGAGGUAAGUUAUGUGUAAAUAAUAGUAAUAUAUUUUAUAAAUUGUGAAUUUUAUUUGAUAUGUGAAUCAAUAUUGAAUGUGGAAGGAAAAUUGUUCAUGAAUUAUUCAAGUGAUAAAGUGUUUAAAAUAAAGUGUUAAGUGUAAAUUCCCGGUUGAACUUAGGAAUAGAAGUGGAUACAAGUGACAUGUCACUAGAGAUCAGUGUUACAGUGUUACAGUGAGUCCCGGGUGCUGGGUGAUCUAGCAUGUGUUGCAGACACCUGACAGCUUGUGUGAGCAGGCCCGUGGACAUUUCCAGUGUUAUUGAUCAGUGGUAGCUUCGGCUACGUUUCAGUGGUAGCUUCAGCUACAUAACAGUGGUAGUUUCGGCUACAUUUCAGUGGUAGCUUCGGCUACAUAACAGUGGUAGCUUCGGCUACAUAUCAGUGUUGCACUUAUGUGCUAAAUCUCUACGUAUCUGUGUAUAUUCCGAGUGUUCAACGGGAUUAAUGAUGGGUUAAAGUGAAUAUGAAAUGAAGUGUGUAUGCAGGAACAAUUGAAAGAAUUGAGCAUAUGUGAUAAAUGUUAAGUGUGAAAAUGUAUAUGCAAGUGAAUUGGUAAGAUUGUGCAUGUGUAAGUGAUUGAAAUUGCUAAGAAAUGUUUUGAUUAGUUAUAUGUUAAAAGUGUUAAUUAUUAAAUGAGUAAUUAUUAUUUACAUGUAACUUACUAAGCUAUUUAUAGCUUACACCUUUCUUUCUUUUCCUUUGUUUUAUAGUGAUUUGAACUUGAUCGAAUUGGGGAUCGUCGGAGCUCGUAUCACACUAUCAUAAUCAUCUCGGUAUUAUGUGAUUUUCAAAAUGUUUAAACUAUGGCAUGUAUAGGGUCUUAAUCAUUUUGAGCAUGUUCAAAUGAUAUGGCUAAUAUUAGCUAUUGAAGUAGCUAUUAAAGAAUAUGUUUUGGUGUUAUGUAUGUUAAAAUGGUAACUAA